RNAcentral lists this ribosomal RNA (434 nucleotides) under uncultured Sphingopyxis sp. Its description in RNAcentral is "bacterial SSU rRNA". It matches the Rfam family "Bacterial small subunit ribosomal RNA", at positions 471 to 904 of the family's 1533-position model. The record is from RNAcentral. Lineage: Bacteria; Pseudomonadati; Pseudomonadota; Alphaproteobacteria; Sphingomonadales; Sphingopyxidaceae.
GACAGUACCUAGAGAAUAAGCUCCGGCUAACUCCGUGCCAGCAGCCGCGGUAAUACGGAGGGAGCUAGCGUUGUUCGGAAUUACUGGGCGUAAAGAGUACGUAGGCGGUUAUUCAAGUCAGAGGUGAAAGCCUGGAGCUCAACUCCAGAACUGCCUUUGAAACUAGAUAGCUAGAAUCUUGGAGAGGUGAGUGGAAUUCCGAGUGUAGAGGUGAAAUUCGUAGAUAUUCGGAAGAACACCAGUGGCGAAGGCGACUCACUGGACAAGUAUUGACGCUGAGGUACGAAAGCGUGGGGAGCAAACAGGAUUAGAUACCCUGGUAGUCCACGCCGUAAACGAUGAUAACUAGCUGUUCGGGCUCUACGAGCUUGAGUGGCGCAGCUAACGCAUUAAGUUAUCCGCCUGGGGAGUACGGUCGCAAGAUUAAAACUCAU